This 325-nucleotide small RNA is filed under the name Pan troglodytes (chimpanzee). RNAcentral's name for it is "processed transcript". The record is from RNAcentral. Lineage: Eukaryota; Metazoa; Chordata; Mammalia; Primates; Hominidae.
GUUUUCUCCUAGUGCUUUGGCCUCCUGGGAGUGAAUGGUGCCGGCAAAACAACCACAUUCAAGAUGCUCACUGGGGACACCACAGUGACCUCAGGGGUUGCCACCGUAGCAGGCAAGAGUAUUUUAACCAAUAUUUCUGAAGUCCAUCAAAAUAUGGGCUACUGUCCUCAGUUUGAUGCAAUCGAUGAGCUGCUCACAGGACGAGAACAUCUUUACCUUUAUGCCCGGCUUCGAGGUGUACCAGCAGAAGAAAUCGAAAAGGUGAAAAAUGUUUUGUUGUGGCCAUAGGAGUCUGGUUAAUUACAAGCCUGUUUCAUGAGAGUGC